RNAcentral lists this long non-coding RNA (499 nucleotides) under Capsella rubella. RNAcentral's name for it is "long non-coding RNA (CRUB_LNC004434)". The record is from RNAcentral. Lineage: Eukaryota; Viridiplantae; Streptophyta; Magnoliopsida; Brassicales; Brassicaceae.
AUAUUUUCUCUCAAAAUCUUGUUACAAUAUAUCUACUAAAAAUCUAAUCAAAUAUAUCACAUGAAUAAUCAAAUCUUUAUUAAAAAAAAGUAUUACAAUUGGGUUUUGGUUUCUCACGUCUAAACACAUGAAUAAUCAAUCUUCCUUUGCUCCAUGCUUCUUCCUUUGUUAAUUAUUCUUUCUUCUAAGAAAUUUCAGUUCUUCCUCUAAAAAAAACUUCAAAUCUUCUUCCUCUAAAAAAACUCUUGCUUUAGAGUAUCUUUGUCCUUCUUCACCGCAAGAAUUUCUUAAGUGUGAAAACCAAUAAACACACAAUGAGAAAAAGAAGAAGAAGAAAGAGUUUAGAAGAUGAACUUAUCGAUAUGAUUUUCUAGAAAUGUAAAUCUGUAUAUAACUUGAUUCACCUGGAGUUGUAUGGUUGGAAAGAAAAACUUCUUUGAAAAUUCUCAGAGAAGAGUUUUUGUCGUGUGAUGAUUUUCAUAUUUUUUGUUUGUGUUUU